UGGGUAGUCCGUACGAGCGCACCUUGUCCCUAGUUGCCAGCACUUCGGGUGGGAACUCUAGAGGAGACUGCCGGUGAUAAACCGGAGGAAGGUGGGGAUGACGUCAAGUCAUCAUGGCCCUUAUGGGGAGGGCUACACACGUGCUACAAUGGCCGGUACAGAGGGCUGCGAAGCCGCGAGGCGGAGCGAAUCUCAGAAAACCGGUCGUAGUCCGGAUUGCAGUCUGCAACUCGACUGCAUGAAGCCGGAAUCGCUAGUAAUCGCGGAUCAGAACGCCGCGGUGAAUACGUUCCCGGGCCUUGUACACACCGCCCGUCACACCAUGGGAGUGGGCUGUACCAGAAGUAGGUAGUCUAACCUUCGGGAGGACGCUUACCACGGUGUGGUUCACGACUGGGGUGAAGUCGUAACAAGGUAGCUCUAGGGGAACCUGGGGCUGGAUCACCUCCUU
This 451-nucleotide ribosomal RNA is filed under the name uncultured Chromatiales bacterium. RNAcentral describes it as "bacterial SSU rRNA". It matches the Rfam family "Bacterial small subunit ribosomal RNA", at positions 1077 to 1532 of the family's 1533-position model. Lineage: Bacteria; Pseudomonadati; Pseudomonadota; Gammaproteobacteria; Chromatiales. The record is from RNAcentral.